GGUGAAAAGGUUAACUGCCUGAGGAUGAGCUCGCGUCUGAUUAGCUAGUUGGAGUGGUAACGGCACACCAAGGCGACGAUCAGUAGCUGGUCUGAGAGGAUGAUCAGCCACACUGGGACUGAGACACGGCCCAGACUCCUACGGGAGGCAGCAGUGGGGAAUUUUCCGCAAUGGGCGAAAGCCUGACGGAGCAAGACCGCGUGAGGGAGGAAGGCCUAUUGGUUGUAAACCUCUUUUGAUAGGGAAGAACACAAUGACGGUACCUAUCGAAUCAGCAUCGGCUAACUCCGUGCCAGCAGCCGCGGUAAUACGGAGGAUGCAAGCGUUAUCCGGAUUUAUUGGGCGUAAAGCGUCCGUAGGUGGUGAGCCAAGUCAGUUGUUAAAGCGUAGAGCUUAACUCUAUAAGGGCAAUUGAAACUGGUUCGCUAGAGUGCGACAGGGGCAAGGGGAAUUUCCAGUGUAGCGGUGAAAUGCGUAGAUAUUGGAAAGAACAUCGGUGG
Molecule: ribosomal RNA, 500 nt
Filed under: Leptolyngbya sp. 1ES33S2
Lineage: Bacteria; Bacillati; Cyanobacteriota; Cyanophyceae; Leptolyngbyales; Leptolyngbyaceae
Description: bacterial SSU rRNA
Rfam family: Bacterial small subunit ribosomal RNA
Source: RNAcentral